UACGUAGGGUGCGAGCGUUGUCCGGAAUUAUUGGGCGUAAAGAGCUCGUAGGCGGUCUGUCGCGUCGUUCGUGAAAACCUGCAGCUCAACUGCAGGCUUGCGGUCGAUACGGGCAGGCUGGAGUUCGGUAGGGGAGACUGGAAUUCCUGGUGUAGCGGUGAAAUGCGCAGAUAUCGGGAAGAACACCCGUGGCGAAGGCGGUUCUCUGGGACGGUACUGACGCUGAGACGCGAAAGCGUGGGGAGCGAACAGG
RNAcentral lists this ribosomal RNA (253 nucleotides) under uncultured bacterium. RNAcentral's name for it is "partial 16S ribosomal RNA". It matches the Rfam family "Bacterial small subunit ribosomal RNA", at positions 524 to 776 of the family's 1533-position model. The record is from RNAcentral.